GGAAUCUUGGACAAUGGGCGCAAGCCUGAUCCAGCCAUGCCGCGUGGAUGAUGAAGGCCCUAGGGUUGUAAAAUCCUUUCGUUGGGGACGAUAAUGACGGUACCCAAAGAAGAAGCUCCGGCUAACUUCGUGCCAGCAGCCGCGGUAAUACGAAGGGGGCUAGCGUUGUUCGGAUUUACUGGGCGUAAAGCGCGUGUAGGCGGGCUGGAAAGUUGGGGGUGAAAUCCCGAGGCUCAACCUCGGAACUGCCUCCAAAACUUCCAGCCUGGACCCAAAGAGAGGCAAGUGGAAUUGCGAGUGUAGAGGUGAAAUUCGUAGAUAUUCGCAGGAACACCAGUGGCGAAGGCGACUUGCUGGCUUUGUGGUGACGCUGAGGCGCGAAAGCGUGGGGAGCGAAC
This 398-nucleotide ribosomal RNA is filed under the name uncultured bacterium. RNAcentral's name for it is "bacterial SSU rRNA". It matches the Rfam family "Bacterial small subunit ribosomal RNA", at positions 358 to 773 of the family's 1533-position model. The record is from RNAcentral.